UACAUAUGCCCUCCCUUCUUUGUACGG
Molecule: non-coding RNA, 27 nt
Filed under: Mus musculus (house mouse)
Lineage: Eukaryota; Metazoa; Chordata; Mammalia; Rodentia; Muridae
Source: RNAcentral